GGGGGUGCUUGCUGGAUGGAUAAGAGAAAGAGUAGUCGCGAUACGGCGGGCGAAUACACUCGCGGCAAUGCGGCCCCCCAACCGGGCAGAAAACACACACAUACACGCAGAUCGCGCUACAAAUACAUGUUAGCGGGAAGAGUAGAAGCUAUCAGUAAAGAAGUGUUGUGAAACUACUAAUACGUUUUUCAUUUAAUUACUGAUAAUAAUUUCAAGAACAAACCAUUAAAAUUGAGUAACCAAUUAGAUUAGUUUGAUUCAAUAUUUUAAAUUAAAAACUAUUUAUCCAAUAAUAAUCCAAUUGUAUAGAGCAAUAUAAAAUGCUGUUUCAAAUGUUUGGAAAUAAUUUACUUUAUCUACUUGCACCUGCACCAAAUAAUCCAGCGUACCCGCUUCUAAUGACAGUUAAGCCAACCCUUCCCCGUGCGCAUUAAAUUUUUGAUAAAAUAAACAAACAAAGCGUAUUAUACCACUACCAGCACGCACGCAUCACCUCCAUCUACAACACGCUCUCACAAUCUUGGUGCGCGUGAAAAGCGGCUGCUCACUUACACCAACACCUGCUGUGCACGGUAGCGGUGUACACCUUGAAAACGUCUAUCGACCAGCGUAGCCGGCGCCUCGGUUAGUGUGUCCACACAGCAGCGAGCCACAAGUUGACCAGUUGCCAAUCUUGCCAACCCGAUCAUUAUCGUUGCAGGCAGGCAAGGGUGAAAAUUUGCUACUCCCAACCAACAGCAACAAAAAAAAACAUUUGCAUUCAGAUAUUGGAGAAGGUGCUUUUCAGGAAAAAAAAGGUAACAUCCCCCCCAAGUGUGUUCGUGCGUGACGAGUAACAAACGAGCGGUUUGCAUGCCGGAAGAACGUAUCGCAUAUUUUCUUUCAUACUGAGUAGCCGCUCAUCUUCGGUGAAAAAUGGGCACGAGGGUGUGUUUUGCAUCCGCAAAGAAACAGAAAGGAGGUUCUAAAGUACACAUUACACACCAUCGGCUUGCAAGAUAUAUCGAAAGGAAACUAUCCUGCCUUAGCUACAAUAUCCGCGGAGCAAACAGCAAAGAAAACGCGUUCACUCGGUGCGGAGAACCAUGUGCUAAUUAAUUUCUGAUAACACACAUACACUCGCCGGCUAGUACUGUGUCUCAAAGACAGUCGCAAAGAAAGCAGCAAAUAAUAGGCAUGAAGUCAUCCGGGGUGUGCGGUUGACAUGACUAGUCCACCGCCAAAGACAUGAGUAAUGGCUGUAUUAUUAGCGACGGCUGACACGGUUGACAAAAUCGAAACAGUAACAAAAAAAACGUAAGCAACGUGAUAGGCUGUAAAUCAGCUUGAUUAGUGUGUAUGCGUGUGUAUUCGCACGAAUUCUUGAUAAGAUGUAAAAAGGUGGUCCAAAUCAACUAAAUCAUUACUCAUGAUCAUGGUAGAUUUGUUAGCAAAAACCGAUUAGCUUGAAAUAAGAAAGUCUAUUCCUCGAUUUGUGUUUUAAGUAAGAAAUUAUUGAUGCUUCAGCCGUCCGUACGUUUGACCGUUAGUGAUCACCGAGUGAUUCCUGCCAGAACGAUCGUCAGUUCAAAUCUCAAACUUGAAAAAAAAUCGUUCUUCAAAAAAAUCUAUUUGUAACAUUCAAUCAAUUGAUUCAGAAGAAAGUAAGUUUGACAUGAUGAUACACAAACAAUAAAAUAAUGAGCAUCUUCAGUUCA
This is a long non-coding RNA of Anopheles coluzzii, 1697 nucleotides long. RefSeq lists it as uncharacterized. Lineage: Eukaryota; Metazoa; Arthropoda; Insecta; Diptera; Culicidae. The record is from RefSeq and is a predicted model, not a curated record. The transcript is spliced from 2 exons.